CCUACGGGUGGCAGCAGUGAGGAAUAUUGGUCAAUGGGCGCGAGCCUGAACCAGCCAAGUCGCGUGAGGGAAGACGGUCCUAUGGAUUGUAAACCUCUUUUGUCGGGGAGCAAAAGACGCCACGCGUGGCGUUCCGAGAGUACCCGAAGAAAAAGCAUCGGCUAACUCCGUGCCAGCAGCCGCGGUAAUACGGAGGAUGCGAGCGUUAUCCGGAUUUAUUGGGUUUAAAGGGUGCGCAGGCGGAAGAGCAAGUCAGCGGUAAAAUUGAGAGGCUCAACCUCUUCGAGCCGUUGAAACUGGUUUGCUUGAGUGAGUGAGAAGUAUGCGGAAUGCGUGGUGUAGCGGUGAAAUGCAUAGAUAUCACGCAGAACUCCGAUUGCGAAGGCAGCAUACCGGCGCUCAACUGACGCUCAUGCACGAAAGUGUGGGUAUCGAACAGGAUUAGAUACCCCUGUAGUC
Molecule: ribosomal RNA, 459 nt
Filed under: uncultured bacterium
Lineage: Bacteria
Description: partial 16S ribosomal RNA
Rfam family: Bacterial small subunit ribosomal RNA
Source: RNAcentral